RNAcentral lists this non-coding RNA (84 nucleotides) under Methylomonas methanica. The record is from RNAcentral. Lineage: Bacteria; Pseudomonadati; Pseudomonadota; Gammaproteobacteria; Methylococcales; Methylococcaceae. RNAcentral also lists the same sequence under 1 other name.
UUUUAUGGCGGGAUUGUUUGGGCAGCCGAAAGGCUGGCCGCGCCUAGAUGCGGUAUUUCCACCCCACUCAAUCCCGUCGCCCGU